CUCUGUGGAUCAGUGGCGAACGGGUGAGUAACACGUGAGCAACCUGCCCCGGACUCUGGGAUAAGCGCUGGAAACGGCGUCUAAUACCGGAUACGAGAUUCCACCGCAUGGUGAGUUUCUGGAAAGAUUUUUUGGUCUGGGAUGGGCUCACGGCCUAUCAGCUUGUUGGUGAGGUAAUGGCUCACCAAGGCGUCGACGGGUAGCCGGCCUGAGAGGGUGACCGGCCACACUGGGACUGAGACACGGCCCAGACUCCUACGGGAGGCAGCAGUGGGGAAUAUUGCACAAUGGGCGGAAGCCUGAUGCAGCAACGCCGCGUGAGGGAUGACGGCCUUCGGGUUGUAAACCUCUUUUAGCAGGGAAGAAGCGAAAGUGACGGUACCUGCAGAAAAAGCGCCGGCUAACUACGUGCCAGCAGCCGCGGUAAUACGUAGGGCGCAAGCGUUAUCCGGAAUUAUUGGGCGUAAAGAGCUCGUAGGCGGUUUGUCGCGUCUGCUGUGAAAUCCCGAGGCUCAACCUCGGGUCUGCAGUGGGUACGGGCAGACUAGAGUGCGGUAGGGGAGAUUGGAAUUCCUGGUGUAGCGGUGGAAUGCGCAGAUAUCAGGAGGAACACCGAUGGCGAAGGCAGAUCUCUGGGCCGUUACUGACGCUGAGGAGCGAAAGGGUGGGGAGCAA
RNAcentral lists this ribosomal RNA (675 nucleotides) under Microbacterium sp. KF-39. RNAcentral's name for it is "bacterial SSU rRNA". It matches the Rfam family "Bacterial small subunit ribosomal RNA", at positions 83 to 771 of the family's 1533-position model. The record is from RNAcentral. Lineage: Bacteria; Bacillati; Actinomycetota; Actinomycetes; Micrococcales; Microbacteriaceae.